GACAUUCACUACAUCGAGAACCCAGCUGCAGCAUAGGCUUGUUGAAUAUUCCAUAUGUCUCCCCGCAGACGAGAUCCUUGCCACACCACCCAACUGCAGGUGGAAAACCUGAGCAAGGUUCCGCCCACCGUUCCGGGUUGCAGAGAAGAUCCCCAAACCAACAUCUUCCUGGGUUUAGCACAGGCAAGCAGAUCUCCGGUUGUACGUGGUUUGCGGGAGGGGAAGGAUUAUGAAAGAAUUAGCUUUUAUCUUCAGAUCCAGAACUGUGUCCGGGCUGGUAUUGAACAGAAACAGACCGUGAGUUUAUCGUCCUGCCUCUGCCUUCCCACUGCUGGGAUUCCAUGUAUUGAGCAUGCCCGCUGUUAAUAGGUGCUGGGGAUGGAACUCAGGACAGACGAAGCAAGCACUCUACAGUGUCUGUACCAUGGUACCAGUGGAAGCCAGAGAGAGAGCUGGAGUCACAGUUGUCGGCCAGCAUGUCGGGGCUGGGAAUGCAACCUGUGUCUCCUGCCAGCGUAGCCAUUGCUCCAGCCCCUCUUUAAUAUAACAUGGUGGAGAACGUGGAUUGACUUUCAGAUGUAGCGGCUUUGAAUGUCAGGAAUAAAUUUCUUGGCCAUCUU
RNAcentral lists this long non-coding RNA (620 nucleotides) under Mus caroli (Ryukyu mouse). RNAcentral describes it as "lncRNA (MGP_CAROLIEiJ_G0003560.1)". Lineage: Eukaryota; Metazoa; Chordata; Mammalia; Rodentia; Muridae. The record is from RNAcentral.